This 159-nucleotide ribosomal RNA is filed under the name Ashtoret miersii. Its description in RNAcentral is "Ashtoret miersi partial 16S rRNA". Lineage: Eukaryota; Metazoa; Arthropoda; Malacostraca; Decapoda; Matutidae. The record is from RNAcentral.
GCUUUAUGUAAAAAGAAACAUGAUGUAUUUAACUUAUAAAGAUUUAGUUUUGUAUUACAUUUUAUUGGGGCAAUAAAAAUAUAAUUUAUGUAACUGUUUAUUAUUUGAAACAUUAUUUUUGAUUAAAUUGAUCCUUUUUAAAGAUUACAAGAACAAGUU